AGAGUUUGAUCCUGGCUCAGGAUGAACGCUAGCGGCAGGCUUAAUACAUGCAAGUCGAGGGGCAGCGGGGUAGCAAUACCGCCGGCGACCGGCAAACGGGUGCGGAACACGUACACAACCUUCCGUUUUAGUGGGGGAUAGCCCAGAGAAAUUUGGAUUAAUACCCCGUAACAUGAUGAUGAGGCAUCUUAUUAUUAUUAUAGUGGCAACACGCUAGAAGACGGGUGUGCGUAUGAUUAGGUAGUUGGCGGGGUAACGGCCCACCAAGCCUUCGAUCAUUAACUGGUGUGAGAGCACGACCAGUCACACGGGCACUGAGACACGGGCCCGACUCCUACGGGAGGCAGCAGUAAGGAAUAUUGGUCAAUGGAGGAAACUCUGAACCAGCCAUGCCGCGUGGAGGAUGAAGGUCCUCUGGAUUGUAAACUUCUUUUAUAUGGGACGAAAAAGGGACUUUCUAGUUCAACUGACGGUACCAUAUGAAUAAGCACCGGCUAACUCCGUG
Molecule: ribosomal RNA, 505 nt
Filed under: uncultured Niabella sp.
Lineage: Bacteria; Pseudomonadati; Bacteroidota; Chitinophagia; Chitinophagales; Chitinophagaceae
Description: bacterial SSU rRNA
Rfam family: Bacterial small subunit ribosomal RNA
Source: RNAcentral